GACGAGUGGCGGACGGGUGAGUAAUGUCUGGGAAACUGCCCGAUGGAGGGGGAUAACUACUGGAAACGGUAGCUAAUACCGCAUAACGUCGCAAGACCAAAGUGGGGGACCUUCGGGCCUCACACCAUCGGAUGUGCCCAGAUGGGAUUAGCUAGUAGGUGGGGUAAUGGCUCACCUAGGCGACGAUCCCUAGCUGGUCUGAGAGGAUGACCAGCCACACUGGAACUGAGACACGGUCCAGACUCCUACGGGAGGCAGCAGUGGGGAAUAUUGCACAAUGGGCGCAAGCCUGAUGCAGCCAUGCCGCGUGUAUGAAGAAGGCCUUCGGGUUGUAAAGUACUUUCAGCGAGGAGGAAGGCAUUGUGGUUAAUAACCGCAGUGAUUGACGUUACUCGCAGAAGAAGCACCGGCUAACUCCGUGCCAGCAGCCGCGGUAAUACGGAGGGUGCAAGCGUUAAUCGGAAUUACUGGGCGUAAAGCGCACGCAGGCGGUCUGUCAAGUCGGAUGUGAAAUCCCCGGGCUCAACCUGGGAACUGCAUUCGAAACUGGCAGGCUAGAGUCUUGUAGAGGGGGGUAGAAUUCCAGGUGUAGCGGUGAAAUGCGUAGAGAUCUGGAGGAAUACCGGUGGCGAAGGCGGCCCCCUGGACAAAGACUGACGCUCAGGUGCGAAA
This 672-nucleotide ribosomal RNA is filed under the name Kluyvera sp. RNAcentral describes it as "bacterial SSU rRNA". It matches the Rfam family "Bacterial small subunit ribosomal RNA", at positions 90 to 758 of the family's 1533-position model. The record is from RNAcentral. Lineage: Bacteria; Pseudomonadati; Pseudomonadota; Gammaproteobacteria; Enterobacterales; Enterobacteriaceae.